This 466-nucleotide ribosomal RNA is filed under the name uncultured bacterium. RNAcentral describes it as "partial 16S ribosomal RNA". It matches the Rfam family "Bacterial small subunit ribosomal RNA", at positions 28 to 506 of the family's 1533-position model. The record is from RNAcentral.
GACGAACGCUGGCGGCGUGCUUAACACAUGCAAGUCGAACGGAAAGGCCCUGCUUUUGUGGGGUGCUCGAGUGGCGAACGGGUGAGUAACACGUGAGUAACCUGCCCUUGACUUUGGGAUAACUUCAGGAAACUGGGGCUAAUACCGGAUAGGAGCUCCUGCUGCAUGGUGGGGGUUGGAAAGUUUCGGCGGUUGGGGAUGGACUCGCGGCUUAUCAGCUUGUUGGUGGGGUAGUGGCUUACCAAGGCUUUGACGGGUAGCCGGCCUGAGAGGGUGACCGGCCACAUGGGGACUGGGAUACGGCCCAGCCUCCUACGGGGGGCAGCAGUGGGGAAUAUUGCACAAUGGGCGGAGGCCUGAUGCAGCAACGCCGCGUGCGGGAUGACGGCCUUCGGGUUGUAAACCGCUUUCGCCUGUGACGAAGCGUGGGUGACGGUAAUGGGUAAAGAAGCACCGGCUACUACGU